GUAUUGAUUGCAUGUGACUGCAAAAGAAAAACAUUCUACACUGUAUCAAGUUUUGUGUGAAAACGUGAGCCCUCCUGCAAAGGGGACCCACGCGGUGAUGCACAAGGGGUGAAAUGGAUGUGUGAGAGUGCUCAGGCGUGCACGACCUUUUGAAAGGUCAGCGACAGCCCUCGCACCCCCGUUGUAUGAUAAUGAUCCUUCCGCAGGUUCACCUACGGAAA
RNAcentral lists this unclassified non-coding RNA (221 nucleotides) under uncultured fungus. RNAcentral describes it as "sequence contains ITS1". Lineage: Eukaryota; Fungi. The record is from RNAcentral.